Molecule: ribosomal RNA, 376 nt
Filed under: uncultured bacterium
Lineage: Bacteria
Description: bacterial SSU rRNA
Rfam family: Bacterial small subunit ribosomal RNA
Source: RNAcentral
UACAGAGGGGGCAAGCGUUAUUCGGAAUUCUUGGGCGUAAAGGGCGCGUAGGCGGCCAAGCAAGUCAGGGGUGAAAUCCCUCGGCUCAACCGAGGAAUUGCCUCUGAAACUGCAUGGCUUGAGACCGGGAGAGGGUGGUGGAAUUCCCAGUGUAGCGGUGAGAUGCGUAGAUAUUGGGAGGAACACCGGUGGCGAAGGCGGCCACCUGGACCGGUUCUGACGCUGAGGCGCGAAAGUGUGGGGAGCAAACAGGAUUAGAUACCCUGGUAGUCCACACUGUAAACGAUGAGCACUCGGUGUUGUGGGUGUCGACCCCUACAGUGCCUUAGGAAACCCGUUAAGUGCUCCGCCUGGGGAGUACGGUCGCAAGGCUGAA